RNAcentral lists this long non-coding RNA (799 nucleotides) under Heterocephalus glaber (naked mole-rat). RNAcentral's name for it is "lncRNA (ENSHGLG00100037282.1)". Lineage: Eukaryota; Metazoa; Chordata; Mammalia; Rodentia; Bathyergidae. The record is from RNAcentral.
CAAACUCAGGACCUUGAGCUUGCAAGAUCUCCACAGCAACUUGAAGAUUGUGUGUGAGAGGAGGAGGAGAAGGAAGAGGAGGUGACCUAAUGUGUGUGUCUUCACCAUACUCCCUGUCUAGGGCUCCUCUAAAAUGAGUGACCACCACCCUCCCAGUGAUAUCUUCGUCUAACAGUCCAUGGAAAAGUAGGAUUGAUGGUGGACUCCGACCGGGUUGGAUGCACUCAAUGCAUACAGCCUGCUGAUGAGUGAGUGAAGGACGGCACAAGCCUGGAAGGUUGAAGAGCAGAGAGAACAAAGCACAGCAGUACACACAGCGCCUAUGUAGCCCAAAGCUUGCAGAGUGGGAAACCUUUUAUGUUUUCCUUUUUGUGAUUUCUCUCUUGGUUUUUUGGUUGGUUUGGUUUGUUUCCUUGGAGACAAUACCAUGUUUUAAAAGGCCUAGCCGGGCGUGGUAGUGCACGCCUGUAAUCCCAGCACUCGGGAGGCUGAGGCAGGAGGAUCACUGUGAGUUCCAGGCCAGCCUGGGCUGCAUAGUGAGUUCCAGUUCAGCCUGGACUACAUAGGGAGACCCUGUCUCAAAAAACCAAAAGCUAAAUAAAUAGCAAACUAAAAAUCCUAGUAGUCUUAAAACCCUGUUCAUCCUGUAGGGUUAAUGUGGUCUCUCAACUUUGUUUCCUGUGUAACUACAGAUAACUUCUGUUGUAGCCUCACAGGUCUACCUGUUGUACUAUAACAGUACUAUACAUCAAUAGUGUUAUUAUGACUUUAAUUAUAUAAAAGCCAAGUGUUUAGUCAG